Molecule: transfer RNA, 72 nt
Filed under: Perkinsus olseni
Lineage: Eukaryota; Perkinsozoa; Perkinsida; Perkinsidae
Rfam family: tRNA
About the family: Transfer RNA (tRNA) molecules are approximately 80 nucleotides in length. Their secondary structure includes four short double-helical elements and three loops (D, anti-codon, and T loops).
Source: Rfam by way of RNAcentral
GGCUGUGUGGUCUAGUGGUAUGAUUCUCGCUUAGGGUGCGAGAAGUCCCGAGUUCAAUUCUCGGCACAGCCC